RNAcentral lists this non-coding RNA (21 nucleotides) under Caenorhabditis elegans. Lineage: Eukaryota; Metazoa; Nematoda; Chromadorea; Rhabditida; Rhabditidae. The record is from RNAcentral.
UAUCAUAUGAAAUUAAAGUUU